This 45-nucleotide non-coding RNA is filed under the name Schistosoma margrebowiei. The record is from RNAcentral. Lineage: Eukaryota; Metazoa; Platyhelminthes; Trematoda; Strigeidida; Schistosomatidae.
AUCCAGCUGGCGAGUCCCAAACAGGACGAAAUGCGCGUCCUGGAU